GCAGUCGUGGCCUACUGGUUAGGGCUUCGGGCCUGUAACCGGAGGGUUGCCGGUUCAAUCCUCGACCAGUAGGA
This 74-nucleotide transfer RNA is filed under the name Alosa alosa (allis shad). Its description in RNAcentral is "tRNA-OTHER". Lineage: Eukaryota; Metazoa; Chordata; Actinopteri; Clupeiformes; Clupeidae. The record is from RNAcentral.